AUUGGACGCUGGCGGCAUGCUUUACACAUGCAAGUCGAACGGCAGCGCGGGCUUCGGCCUGGCGGCGAGUGGCGAACGGGUGAGUAAUGCAUCGGAACGUGCCCAGUAGUGGGGGAUAGCCCGGCGAAAGCCGGAUUAAUACCGCAUACGACCUGAGGGUGAAAGCGGGGGACCGAAAGGCCUCGCGCUAUUGGAGCGGCCGAUGUCGGAUUAGCUAGUUGGUGGGGUAAAGGCUUACCAAGGCGACGAUCCGUAGCUGGUCUGAGAGGACGACCAGCCACACUGGGACUGAGACACGGCCCAGACUCCUACGGGAGGCAGCAGUGGGGAAUUUUGGACAAUGGGGGCAACCCUGAUCCAGCCAUGCCGCGUGCGGGAAGAAGGCCUUCGGGUUGUAAACCGCUUUUGUUCGGGAAGAAAUCCUCUGGGCUAAUACCCCGGGGGGAUGACGGUACCGGAAGAAUAAGCACCGGCUAACUAAGUG
Molecule: ribosomal RNA, 484 nt
Filed under: uncultured bacterium
Lineage: Bacteria
Description: partial 16S ribosomal RNA
Rfam family: Bacterial small subunit ribosomal RNA
Source: RNAcentral